CGGGCGGGCGGAGCAGUGAGGGGUGCGGGGGCUGCACACCGAACGCCGCCCGGGGCGGUGCCGCGCCGAUUCCUCGCGCAAACGGCCUGCACGGGAAGCCGCCGGCUCUGCAGCACCCAGGUGCGCCCGGGCCGCGGUUGGCGAGCGGACAACGCCGACCGGGGCGUGGAGGGCGCGGCGGCGCAGGGCCGGGCGGGGACUCGGAGGCCGCGCCGCCGCACGCGCCCCUCUUACCGGCAGAUCUGGAUGGCAGACGGCGUCUCGGCAGCGGGGCCCGACAUGCUGGCGGCGGCGGCUGGCGGCAGGAGAGCGUAGGUGUCCGGCAGGCCUGGCGCUGAAUGAAUGAGCCCGGGCGGCGCCAUGGAAGGGGAGGGAGGAGGCGUGGCCAUGGCGCUAACGGGGCGGGCCCUGAUCACUAACAGGGAAUCGAACACGGCCUUCUGCCAAGGCCCCGCCCCUUGUGCCCGCCCUCGUCCCGCCGGCACGCCUUAGGGGCUCCGCCGGCGUCGGGUUCUGGCAGCGGCGGGGCUCCGCUUCCAGAAGGCGAGCGCUCGGGACCCGGCGGCCGCGUGUGCACGUGGGAGCACAGAGCCGGGAGCCGCAGCCACCCACCGCUGCCCGGUGGGAUCUGCCUGCACUCGCGGCACACCGCCUCGGUCGCUACAGACAGACUUACCGGAAGCGCCGAGCUUUUGCUGGGGCGCGCGUCCUGCCAGGAGGGGCCCCAGAGAUGCCGGUUUGUUGUGUUGCACACCACAUGCCCUGCAGUGGCGUCCAGGCCAAGUCGGGCUCAAAAGCCGCCCCAGAAAAACCCACAGAGGGGGGAAAAGUGAUCACCUUUAUGUGCCGGAAUUAGAGCGCUUUGUACUCCAUGUGAGAUUUGACUUUGUCCAAAUUUUUUACCAUAAACAAAUUGCUUUUGUA
This is a non-coding RNA of Manis javanica (Malayan pangolin), 924 nucleotides long. NCBI's taxonomy places the organism in Eukaryota, Metazoa, Chordata, Mammalia, Pholidota, Manidae. The record is from RefSeq and is a predicted model, not a curated record.